GCCCGCGUAGCUCAGUUGGAAGAGCGCAUCCUUGGUAAGGAUGAGGUCACCAGUUCAAUUCUGGUCGUGGGCUCCA
This 76-nucleotide transfer RNA is filed under the name Candidatus Atribacteria bacterium. Its description in RNAcentral is "tRNA-Thr". It matches the Rfam family "tRNA". From Rfam's summary of the family: Transfer RNA (tRNA) molecules are approximately 80 nucleotides in length. Their secondary structure includes four short double-helical elements and three loops (D, anti-codon, and T loops). RNAcentral also lists the same sequence under 3 other names. The record is from RNAcentral. Lineage: Bacteria; Pseudomonadati; Atribacterota; Atribacteria.